Acanthosepion pharaonis is the source of this 96-nucleotide non-coding RNA. The record is from the annotation of a GenBank genome assembly. NCBI's taxonomy places the organism in Eukaryota, Metazoa, Mollusca, Cephalopoda, Sepiida, Sepiidae.
UUGAAACACUGGUUCUUGUACGACCGCCGAAGUUAAGCAACGUUGAGUCUCGUCAGUAUCUAGAUGGGUGACCGCUUUGGAAUCCAAUGUGCUGUA